RNAcentral lists this ribosomal RNA (497 nucleotides) under uncultured bacterium. RNAcentral describes it as "partial 16S ribosomal RNA". It matches the Rfam family "Bacterial small subunit ribosomal RNA", at positions 28 to 507 of the family's 1533-position model. The record is from RNAcentral.
GAUGAACGCUGGCGGCGUGCCUAAUACAUGCAAGUCGAGCGAACGGGCGAGAAGCUUGCUUCUCUGAUGUUAGCGGCGGACGGGUGAGUAACACGUGGAUAACCUACCUAUAAGACUGGGAUAACUUCGGGAAACCGGAGCUAAUACCGGAUAAUAUUUUGAACCGCAUGGUUCAAAAGUUAAAGACGGUCUUGCUGUCACUUAUAGAUUGAUCCGCGCUGCAUUAGCUAGUUGGUAAGGUAACGGCUUACCAAGGCAACGAUGCAUAGCCGACCUGAGAGGGUGAUCGGACACACUGGAACUGAGACACGGUCCAGACUACUACGGGAGGCAGCAGUAGGGAAUAUUCCGCAAUGGGGGAAAGCAUGACGGAGAAAAGCCGCGUGAGUGAUGAAGGUCUUAGGAUCGUAAAACUCUGUUAUUAGGGAAGAACAUAUGUGUAAGUAACUGUGCACAGCUUGACGGUACCUAAUCAGAAAGCAACGGCUAACUACGUG